RNAcentral lists this long non-coding RNA (1049 nucleotides) under Sus scrofa (pig). RNAcentral's name for it is "lncRNA (ENSSSCG00060074882.1)". The record is from RNAcentral. Lineage: Eukaryota; Metazoa; Chordata; Mammalia; Artiodactyla; Suidae.
GAGAACCCGGAUGAGGGCGCCCUGUUGGGGCGUCUUUGAGAAGCGGUGGCGGGUGCUGAGGUGGUGGAUGCGGGCGUGAGCGGGUAGCGGAAGUGUGCGGACGUCCCCUCCUCCCCCGAAGCUGAUCUGCGGAUCUCAUCCCCGGGCCUCGCCCCUCGCCUUCCCCAAACCCCGUCCACUCCCCUUUCAUUGCUCCGGGAGCCGUCGGGGCUGUUUCCCCUUUGGGAACGGAAAGGUACCGCAGAGGCUUAGAGAGGGGAGGAAGGUGACAUCAAUUUGUGCAUCUCCCAGACUAGCACCGAGGCACUGCUUGCCGCUCAGGCCCCGUCGGAUUGCCUGUCCUCCGGCAGCUCAGCGCGAAGGUGUGAACUCAGCUUCCUUCAGAGCCUCCCCGCCAUGGCCACUGGGAACCAAGAAUGGCACUGGUCCCCAAGCCUUCCUCUGCCUCUGGUUUGGGAAUAGUUGCAAAUCCCAGGCAGGACGGACUCUCCGGGGUGGCUGAGGGGGCACAUUCUUGGAGGGCGGUGGCUGGGCAUGGAAUUGAGACCAACUGACAACGUCAUCGAGUAUUCCAGUCCCUGGCAGGCAGGCUCUGAGAGCCACAGGCCGAGCCCUUCCUAGAGCAUGCUCUCUGCCAUUUUCAGCCUCCCUUCAGCCCCUGGGGAAAGCAGCAUGAUAAGACCAAAACAGAACCAGCUUUGGAGCCAGGCAGACCUGGACACGUGCUGGCUGUGUGACCUUGGGCAAAGUCACUUAACUGUGAGCCUCGGUUUCCUCAUCAGGCUAAUUUGUCCAGUCGUGUUGUUGGAAGAUUAAAUGAGAUUUGCUUAAAAGCACUUAGCACGCGGUCUGGCUCUCCAUCCAUGCUCUGGCCCCUGCCAGACCUAGGAAAGGCCACAGUUUGCAUGAAGAACCUAGUUUCUCCCUGCAGGCUUGGGGAAGGAGCCUGGGAGAAGUACCCCUUGCCAGGACUGGGAUCAGCUGCAGGCUGCUGCUGGGCCACUAGGCGGCGCUGGGAACCCAGCCUGCUCUGUCCCAGUGGGGCACUA